This 199-nucleotide long non-coding RNA is filed under the name Elaeis guineensis (African oil palm). RNAcentral describes it as "long non-coding RNA (EGUI_LNC070560)". The record is from RNAcentral. Lineage: Eukaryota; Viridiplantae; Streptophyta; Magnoliopsida; Arecales; Arecaceae.
GCUCCAAGAGUUGGCACCUAAUAAGAUUCCUAAUGUAAGUUGAAUAAUUUAAGUUAUUAGAAAACCUAAUGCAAGUAAGACUUGUAUUAUGAGAUUGAAUAGGAUUCAAUCUUCAUGCCUAUUUAAAGGGACAUCUCCUAAGGUCCCUAGUGCAUCCAACCAAUAGCCCACACCCACCUUUGGAGACCACCCACGCCCU